AAAUUAGAUGAGUCCAAGUCCUAAUGAAUUAGGAUUAAAUUUUCAUUACAAUCAAGCUUGAUCAAAUCAAACCUAAUCUAAGUCAAACCGAAUUCAAUUCAAUUAAACUUGAUCCAAAACUCUUUACUCAAUCAAAUUAAAAUAAUUAAUAAUCUAAUUACUAAUUAAUUCUCUAAUAAUAAUAGAGUUUCAAUCCAGUGGGACUCUCCUCUAGAGUUUAAAUCUCAAUGAGACUCCUCACCAGAGUCACAAUUCAAUUGGACUCUUCAGCCAUC
Molecule: long non-coding RNA, 275 nt
Filed under: Elaeis guineensis (African oil palm)
Lineage: Eukaryota; Viridiplantae; Streptophyta; Magnoliopsida; Arecales; Arecaceae
Description: long non-coding RNA (EGUI_LNC082296)
Source: RNAcentral